GAUGACAGCGCCUCUUCCACUCCCCCCCCCCAAGAUGGCGCCCCAAGCAGCCUGCCCGGCCACAGCGUUUCCGGUUCCGGCCGGGUUGCCAUGGCGCUCUGUCCCGCCCCUCGCUCUGUGUUUACAUCGGGCAGGAGGAGCCGGGGACUCCGCAGCGGUCGCGUCCCGCUCCGUGCGCUGCUGCGCUCCAUCGGCCCCGAGCUGCGGGAGGGCAAGAGCGCGCCGGCAUGAAGGGUCCCAGCUUGGAAACGCAGAUGGUGGAAGAUGAAGCUGAGACAACCAGUGAAGAACUGCCCCCUCAUCUGCGGGAGGAGCCUCCUGAAGCAAAACGUGACCCUUCCCAAAGGAAAAGAAGAUGGAGAAAGAACCUUUCUAGCAAUUGGGCAAUGCUGUCAUUCUUGAUUCAAAGUGUGUUGGGGAAAGGAGCCGUACUGACAGUGCUGGUGCUGGAGUCUGGAAUCUCUUCCAAUCCACAGUCCAGGUUCAUCUUCACCAGCUCUACUUGCCAAUGUGCCUCAGACCUGACAUGGAGAGAAAAGAAAGUAGCUGGCUCUCUUGCCUAUUCACUCUUUGGCCUCUCUGCUGAGGAUAGUUAUGAAUUGUUGCCAGUAUUCUUCUGUGCUGCAAAACCAUAGUUGCUUCCUGUUGCUUUUCAUAGAUUUUAAGCCAGAAGGAACCAUUAUGAUCCUUUAGUCUGACCUUCUGUAUAACACAGACUAUAAGAACCCUUUUCUCCAGUUUAACACCUUGUUCUUUUUUUCCCUUAUUUUGCCAGCCCUUGUUUU
This 785-nucleotide long non-coding RNA is filed under the name Chrysemys picta bellii (western painted turtle). Its description in RNAcentral is "lncRNA (ENSCPBG00000012610.1)". Lineage: Eukaryota; Metazoa; Chordata; Testudines; Emydidae. The record is from RNAcentral.